This is a non-coding RNA of Nelumbo nucifera (sacred lotus), 148 nucleotides long. Lineage: Eukaryota; Viridiplantae; Streptophyta; Magnoliopsida; Proteales; Nelumbonaceae. The record is from Rfam.
GAGAUAAGAAGCUGAGAGGUUAGCCAAGGAGCUUGCCUAUGAAUCACCUGAAGGGGUAGUUUCUAAGGAAUGGUAGGGCUGUCUCCUUUGAACACCCCUCAGGAGGACACAGGCAAGUCAUCCUUGGCUACCAAACAGACUCUUAUCU